UACGGGGGGGGUAAGCGUUGUUCGGAAUUACUGGGCGUAAAGGGCUCGUAGGCGGCCAACUAAGUCGGACGUGAAAUCCCUCAGCUUAACUGGGGAACUGCGUCCGAUACUGGAUGGCUUGGAUUUGGGAGAGGGAUGCGGAAUUCCAGGUGUAGCGGUGAAAUGCGUAGAUAUCUGGAGGAACACCGGUGGCGAAGGCGGAUCUCUGGGCCUUACCUGACGCUGAGGAGCGAAAGCGUGGGGAGCGAACAGG
Molecule: ribosomal RNA, 253 nt
Filed under: uncultured bacterium
Lineage: Bacteria
Description: partial 16S ribosomal RNA
Rfam family: Bacterial small subunit ribosomal RNA
Source: RNAcentral